Molecule: ribosomal RNA, 492 nt
Filed under: uncultured bacterium
Lineage: Bacteria
Description: partial 16S ribosomal RNA
Rfam family: Bacterial small subunit ribosomal RNA
Source: RNAcentral
AGUGAACGCUGGCGGUAGGCCUAACACAUGCAAGUCGAACGGCAGCACAGUAAGAGCUUGCUCUUACGGGUGGCGAGUGGCGGACGGGUGAGGAAUACAUCGGAAUCUACUUUUUCGUGGGGGAUAACGUAGGGAAACUUACGCUAAUACCGCAUACGACCUACGGGUGAAAGCAGGGGAUCUUCGGACCUUGCGCGAUUGAAUGAGCCGAUGUCGGAUUAGCUAGUUGGCGGGGUAAAGGCCCACCAAGGCGACGAUCCGUAGCUGGUCUGAGAGGAUGGUCAGCCACACUGGAACUGAGACACGGUCCAGACUCCUACGGGAGGCAGCAGUGGGGAAUAUUGGACAAUGGGCGCAAGCCUGAUCCAGCCAUACCGCGUGGGUGAAGAAGGCCUUCGGGUUGUAAAGCCCUUUUGUUGGGAAAGAAAAGCAGCAGGUUAAUACCCCGCUGUCCUGACGGUACCCAAAGAAUAAGCACCGGCUAACUUCGUG